Molecule: non-coding RNA, 91 nt
Filed under: Leptotrichia massiliensis
Lineage: Bacteria; Fusobacteriati; Fusobacteriota; Fusobacteriia; Fusobacteriales; Leptotrichiaceae
Description: Glycine riboswitch
Rfam family: Glycine riboswitch aptamer
About the family: This family represents the bacterial glycine riboswitch. Glycine riboswitches usually consist of two metabolite-binding aptamers domains with similar structures in tandem.
Source: RNAcentral
CGAGCCUCUGGAGAGACUGUCUUAAAUGACAGCACCGAAGGAGCAAAGGAAUUUCUAAUUCCCUAAACUCUCAGGUAAAAGAACAGAGAAU